CGAGCGAACAGACGAGGAGCUUGCUCCUCUGACGUUAGCGGCGUACGGGUGAGUAACACGUGGAUAACCUACCUAUAAGACUGGGAUAACUUCGGGAAACCGGAGCUAAUACCGGAUAAUAUAUUGAACCGCAUGGUUCAAUAGGGGAAGACGGUUUUGCUGUCCCUUAUAGAUGGAUCCGCGCCGCAUUAGCUAGUUGGGAAGGUAACGGCUUACCAAGGCAACGAUGCGUAGCCGACCUGAGAGGGUGAUCGGCCACACUGGAACUGAGACCCGGUCCAGACUCCUACGGGGAGGGAGCAGUAGGGAAUCUUCCGCAAUGGGCGAAAGCCUGACAGACCCACGCCGCGUGAGUGAUGAAGGUCUUCGGAUCGUAAAACUCUGUUUUUAGGGAAGAACAAAUGUGUAAGUAACUAUGCACGUCUUGACGGUACCUAAUCAGAAAGCCGCGGCUAACUACGCGCCAGCAGGCGCGGUAAUACGGAGGGGGCAAGCGUUAUCCCGAAUUAUUGGGCGUAAACCGCGCGUAGCGGUUUUUUAAGUCUGAUGUGAAAGCCCACGGCUCAACCGUGGUGGGUCAUUGGAAACUGGAAAACUUGAGUGCAGAAGAGGAAAGUGGAAUUCCAUGUGUAGCGGUGAAAUGCGCAGAGAUAUGGAGGAACACCAGUGGCGAAGGCGACUUUCUGGUCUGUAACUGACGCUGAUGUGCGAAAGCGUGGGGAUCAAACAGGAUUAGAUACCCUGGUAGUCCACGCCGUAAACGAUGAGUGCUAAGUGUUAGGGGGUUUCCGCCCCUUAGUGCUGCAGCUAACGCAUUAAGCACUCCGCCUGGGGAGUACGACCGCAAGGUUGAAACUCAAAGGAAUUGACGGGGACCCGCACAAGCGGUGGAGCAUGUGGUUUAAUUCGAAGCAACGCGAAGAACCUUACCAAAUCUUGACAUCCUCUGACCCCUCUAGAGAUAGAGUUUUCCCCUUCGGGGGACAGAGUGACAGGUGGUGCAUGGUUGUCGUCAGCUCGUGUCGUGAGAUGUUGGGUUAAGUCCCGCAACGAGCGCAACCCUUAAGCUUAGUUGCCAUCAUUAAGUUGGGCACUCUAAGUUGACUGCCGGUGACAAACCGGAGGAAGGUGGGGAUGACGUCAAAUCAUCAUGCCCCUUAUGAUUUGGGCUACACACGUGCUACAAUGGACAAUACAAAGGGCAGCGAAACCGCGAGGUCAAGCAAAUCCCAUAAAGUUGUUCUCAGUUCGGAUUGUAGUCUGCAACUCGACUAUAUGAAGCUGGAAUCGCUAGUAAUCGUAGAUCAGCAUGCUACGGUGAAUACGUUCCCGGGUCU
Molecule: ribosomal RNA, 1337 nt
Filed under: uncultured bacterium
Lineage: Bacteria
Description: bacterial SSU rRNA
Rfam family: Bacterial small subunit ribosomal RNA
Source: RNAcentral